RNAcentral lists this ribosomal RNA (491 nucleotides) under uncultured bacterium. RNAcentral describes it as "partial 16S ribosomal RNA". It matches the Rfam family "Bacterial small subunit ribosomal RNA", at positions 29 to 507 of the family's 1533-position model. The record is from RNAcentral.
GUGAACGCUGGCGGUAGGCCUAACACAUGCAAGUCGGACGGCAGCACAGUAAGAGCUUGCUCUUACGGGUGGCGAGUGGCGGACGGGUGAGGAAUACAUCGGAAUCUACUUUUUCGUGGGGGAUAACGUAGGGAAACUUACGCUAAUACCGCAUACGACCUACGGGUGAAAGCAGGGGAUCUUCGGACCUUGCGCGAUUGAAUGAGCCGAUGUCGGAUUAGCUAGUUGGCGGGGUAAAGGCCCACCAAGGCGACGAUCCGUAGCUGGUCUGAGAGGAUGAUCAGCCACACUGGAACUGAGACACGGUCCAGACUCCUACGGGAGGCAGCAGUGGGGAAUAUUGGACAAUGGGCGCAAGCCUGAUCCAGCCAUACCGCGUGGGUGAAGAAGGCCUUCGGGUUGUAAAGCCCUUUUGUUGGGAAAGAAAAGCAGCAGGUUAAUACCCCGCUGUUCUGACAGUACCCAAAGAAUAAGCACCGGCUAACUUCGUG